RNAcentral lists this ribosomal RNA (305 nucleotides) under uncultured bacterium. Its description in RNAcentral is "partial 16S ribosomal RNA". It matches the Rfam family "Bacterial small subunit ribosomal RNA", at positions 506 to 807 of the family's 1533-position model. The record is from RNAcentral.
ACAGCAGUAGCCGCGGGAAUACGUAGGGUGCGAGCGUUAAUCGGAAUUACUGGGCGUAAAGCGUGCGCAGGCGGUUGAGUAAGACAGGUGUGAAAUCCCCGGGCUUAACCUGGGAACUGCGCUUGUGACUGCACAGCUAGAGUAUGGCAGAGGGGGGUGGAAUUCCACGUGUAGCAGUGAAAUGCGUAGAGAUGUGGAGGAACACCGAUGGUGAAGGCAGCCCCCUGGGCCAAUACUGACGCUCAUGCACGAAAGCGUGGGGAGCAAACAGGAUUAGAUACCCCUGUAGUCCCUGUCUCUUAUAC